Molecule: ribosomal RNA, 253 nt
Filed under: uncultured bacterium
Lineage: Bacteria
Description: partial 16S ribosomal RNA
Rfam family: Bacterial small subunit ribosomal RNA
Source: RNAcentral
UACGGAGGGUGCGAGCGUUGUUCGGAAUCACUGGGCGUAAAGGGCGUGUAGGCGGUCCGCUAAGUCUGAUGUGAAAGCCCGGGGCUCACCCCCGGAAGGGCAUUGGAAACUGACGGACUCGAGUCCCGAAGAGGAGGGUGGAAUUCCAGGUGUAGCGGUGAAAUGCGUAGAUAUCUGGAGGAACACCGGUGGCGAAGGCGGCAUCCUGGACCAACACUGACACUGAGGAGCGAAAGCCAGGGGAGCAAACGGG